This 679-nucleotide unclassified non-coding RNA is filed under the name Hevea brasiliensis (rubber tree). The record is from RNAcentral. Lineage: Eukaryota; Viridiplantae; Streptophyta; Magnoliopsida; Malpighiales; Euphorbiaceae.
UUUAAUUAAUUUUUAAUAAGAUAUUGAUUGAACUAGUGUCUUACUUAUAGAACCAAUAACCCAUCGACUGGGUACCUCGGCCGGGUCAAACUCCGGGCUGGGUCUAAUUACACUGGUUUGGAUUUGAGUGUCAUUCAUGGUUUGUAUUGGUAAAUUGAAACAUGGAUGAAAAAAUCGAUUAAACCAAGUAAACUUUUCGGUUUGGUGUUAUUUGAUUUUAGAUAAUGUUCAUUUUGGUGGUAAGUUUGAGAAUUUCAGUUGAUUCAGUUUGGCCUAAAAAUUUUGAGAUGACUGACCAAUUGUAGAUAAUUUCAGCUUGGUGUUCUUUGACUGCAGAUAAUGUUCAGUUUGGUAAGUUAAAUGAUAAAUUUGAGAAUCUUUGGUUUGGUCUGAAAAUGUUGGGAUAACUGACCGAUUGCACAUCACUAAGCACUAGGCUAUCUUCCUGAACAACCUGGUUAUUAUCUAUUUCUCAACCUGGUUGGUUUCUUAAAUUUUUCUCUGAGAGUUAUUUUAUGCAAGCAAAAUGAACUUGCAAUUCUAACCAGUUUGUUGCUAAGCUCCAUCACUUUUGGAUCCCAAUAAAAUCAAAUCCAAAAUACAUGACUUGUUUCAAAAUGCAGUUAUAGGUUAGUUUUUGUGAAUUGAACAUUUGAGUUUGGGAGAGAGAGAGAGAGAG